Long non-coding RNA from Gallus gallus (chicken), 771 nucleotides. Lineage: Eukaryota; Metazoa; Chordata; Aves; Galliformes; Phasianidae. The record is from Ensembl.
AUGGGGUCUUAUGGGGGUUUUAUGGGGUCCUAUGGGGGCUUAAAGGGGUCCUAUGGGGUCUUUAUGGGGUCCUAAGGGGUCUUAUGGGGGCUUUAUGGGGUCCUAUGGGGGCUUAAAGGGGUCCUAUGGGGUCUUUAUGGGGUCCUAUGGGGCUCUAUGGGGCAAUAUGGGGUCCUAUGGGGUCCUUAUAGGGUCCUAUUGGGUCCUUAUGGGGUCCUAUGGGGCUCUACGGGGUCCUAUGGGGACCUUAUGGGGUUAUAUGGGGGGUUUAUGGGGUCCUAUAGGGGCUUAAAGGGGUUCUAUGGGGUCCUAUGGGGUUCUAUGGGGUCUUUAUGGCGUUCUACGGGACUCUAUGGGGUCCUUAUGGGGUUUUAUGGGGUCUUAUGGGGUCCUAUGCGGCUCUAUGAGGUCUUAUGGGAUCCUAUGGGGUCCUAUGGGGUCCUAUGGGGUCCUAUGGGGCUCUAUGGGGUCCUAUGGGGUCCUUAUGGGGUUUUAUGGGGUCCCUAUGAGGUCCUUAUGAGGCUCUGUGGGGCUCUAUUGGGUCUUUAUGGGGAUCUAUGGGGUCCUAUGGGGCUCUAUGGGGUCCUUAUGGGGGCUUAAAAGGGUCUUAUGGGGUUCUAUGGGGUCCUUAUGGGGUCCUAUGGGGUUCUUAUGGGGUUUUAUGGGGUCCAAUGGGGUCCUAUGGGGCUCUAUGAGGUCUUAUGGGGUUCUAUGGGGUCCUUAUGGGGUUCUUAUGGGGUUCUAUGGGGUCUUUAUGGGGUCCUAUAGGGU